RNAcentral lists this ribosomal RNA (253 nucleotides) under uncultured bacterium. Its description in RNAcentral is "partial 16S ribosomal RNA". It matches the Rfam family "Bacterial small subunit ribosomal RNA", at positions 524 to 776 of the family's 1533-position model. The record is from RNAcentral.
UACGUAGGUGGCAAGCGUUGUCCGGAUUUACUGGGUGUAAAGGGCGUGUAGCCGGGCUGACAAGUCAGAUGUGAAAUCCGGGGGCUCAACCCCCGAACUGCAUUUGAAACUGUUGGUCUUGAGUAUCGGAGAGGCAGGCGGAAUUCCUAGUGUAGCGGUGAAAUGCGUAGAUAUUAGGAGGAACACCAGUGGCGAAGGCGGCCUGCUGGACGACAACUGACGGUGGGGCGCGAAAGCGUGGGGAGCAAACAGG